Molecule: long non-coding RNA, 780 nt
Filed under: Pongo abelii (Sumatran orangutan)
Lineage: Eukaryota; Metazoa; Chordata; Mammalia; Primates; Hominidae
Description: lincRNA
Source: RNAcentral
AAAAAAAAAAAAAAAAAAAAAGCUGUAAAUCCAGGGCCCAAAAGCUCCCUUCAAUGCGAAGUGGAAUCUCUUUCUCCACCUCUUCAAUAUGGCUUGCCCUGGAACUUCCCUUGGCACACAGAAUACAGCAGAAUUGGCUUCAUAUUGUUUCUAAGCCUUGGCCUCAGAGGCCUUGCAUGCUUCCUAACCCUGGCUCUAGGAAACUUGCUGCUGUCACAUAAGCAAGCCCAGGCUAACCUGCUGAAUGUUGGUGUGUCCCAGUCAAAUCCAGCACUGCAACCAAUAGCCAGCCAGCCACCAGACAUGCGAGCGGGGCCACCUCACACCAGCCAACCUCCACCAAGUCAUCAGAUGUAUGAGUGAGAACAGCCCAGAAUGACUGAGCCUGUUCAGACCAGCGGAACGACCAAGCUGACCAGUAGACUUAGGAGCAGUAAACAGAUGAUUGUAUGGAAGCCAUUCCGUUUAGGGUGUGUGUGUUAUUGCUUGCAUCCAAAUACAUCCUAUCUCAUCUAAUGAGAAAAGGCCCUGCUCAAGGGCUUUUGCAGCUAUAGUUGGGCCCCGGAAGUGUCUUUGUGGUCAUUUCUUACUCUAUACACGAGGAGAUCAAGGCUCAGACCAGGUAGUGUGACUGUGGAAGACACUUUCCUUACCCGUCUGUGGCACUUAAAUCAAUGAAGCAGAUUCACAGAAGCGUGCAUGCUCACUGAACACAGUACUUGCAUUCCUACCUCCAAACCUUUGCUCCACCCAUGCAUCCAGUAAGAAUGCCCACUUCCC